RNAcentral lists this ribosomal RNA (468 nucleotides) under uncultured bacterium. RNAcentral describes it as "partial 16S ribosomal RNA". It matches the Rfam family "Bacterial small subunit ribosomal RNA", at positions 28 to 507 of the family's 1533-position model. The record is from RNAcentral.
GACGAACGCUGGCGGCGUGCUUAACACAUGCAAGUCGAACGGAAAGGCCCUGCUUUUGUGGGGUGCUCGAGUGGCGAACGGGUGAGUAACACGUGAGUAACCUGCCCUUGACUUUGGGAUAACUUCAGGAAACUGGGGCUAAUACCGGAUAGGAGCUCCUGCUGCAUGGUGGGUGUUGGAAAGUUUCGGCGGUUGGGGAUGGACUCGCGGCUUAUCAGCUUGUUGGUGGGGUAGUGGCUUACCAAGGCUUUGACGGGUAGCCGGCCUGAGAGGGUGACCGGCCACAUUGGGACUGAGAUACGGCCCAGAAUCCUACGGGAGGCAGCAGUGGGGAAUAUUGCACAAUGGGCGGAAGCCUGAUGCAGAAACGCCGCGUGCGGGAUGACGGCCUUCGGGUUGUAAACCGCUUUCGCCUGUGACGAAGCGUGAGUGACGGUAAUGGGUAAAGAAGCACCGGCUAACUACGUG